RNAcentral lists this ribosomal RNA (253 nucleotides) under uncultured prokaryote. RNAcentral's name for it is "partial 16S ribosomal RNA". It matches the Rfam family "Bacterial small subunit ribosomal RNA", at positions 524 to 776 of the family's 1533-position model. The record is from RNAcentral.
GACGUAGGAUGCGAGCGUUGUCCGGAUUCAUUGGGCGUAAAGAGUUCGUAGGCGGUUUAUUAAGUCUGGUGUUAAAGACUGGGGCUCAACCCUGGGACAGCACUGGAUACUGGUAGGCUGGAGUGUGGUAGAGGCAAGCGGAAUUCCUGGUGUAGCGGUGAAAUGCGUAGAUAUCAGGAAGAACACCGGUGGCGUACGCGGCUUGCUGGGCCAUAACUGACGCUGAGGAACGAAAGCUAGGGGAGCAAACAGG